GGGACACUAUGAUUUGACUCGGACCUAUUAUCUAUUGACAUUUGAUUUGAGCACUCAUGUUUUUGGCAGUAUUGCAUUGCCAUUCAAAACUGUGCUAUCUGUUGCACCAACACCCAUCCAAGGUUCUAUAGCUGCGGUUUCUUCGCGAGCUGCACCAACACCCAUCCAAGGUUCUAUACCUUCGCUAGCUGAUUUUGCUAAUCAGAUUUGGUUGAUGAAAGAUGCUUCUUGGUCUGCUUUUUUGAAUUUUAAAAAAGAUCAAGUUAGGGCACAUUUAUCAAGUGUUUUGCAAUUGAGCACGAGUGAUGAUCUUGUUUUCUACAGC
This 325-nucleotide long non-coding RNA is filed under the name Lactuca sativa (garden lettuce). RNAcentral describes it as "long non-coding RNA (LSAT_LNC004723)". The record is from RNAcentral. Lineage: Eukaryota; Viridiplantae; Streptophyta; Magnoliopsida; Asterales; Asteraceae.